AACCCCCGCCUUCGUCGCCACCACCACCGUAGUGCGCAUGCGCCAAUUCCCGAUCGCUCCUGAGAGAGGCGCUGCGAGGAAACACCAUUCUUCUGAGGACGGUGGGCGGGGAAAACGGCGCGCAUGCUUAGCGAGGCGAAGCCGUGUUCGCCCGCGUGGCUUUUGCGCAUGCGCAUUCCUGGAACCUCGUUCCCAAAGCGGCAGUCGAUCCCUGGUCUCCACGGCGGUGCAGCCUCAGCCUCCUCGCUUUUCACGGUCGGCUUGGGCGUCCCUUCGGAAUGCCUUCCUCACUGAUGGCAGCCUUCUGUGCCUCUGCUCUGAGAACAUGAGACUCAUCCUUGAUUCUGGCACACGGGUGUUACUUGGUCACAUGAAAUAAAAGGUUACGGGCAUGGUG
This 397-nucleotide long non-coding RNA is filed under the name Homo sapiens (human). RNAcentral describes it as "HSALNT0395970". The record is from RNAcentral. Lineage: Eukaryota; Metazoa; Chordata; Mammalia; Primates; Hominidae.